AGACUUCAAAUAAGGAAUUUCUGCCCUAUAUUAGAAGGGUCGGCGGGUUUUCCCGUCUGACUAUGGUGAUAAACGGAUUGUGCAAUAAACCAUUCGGACCCGGGGGCAGUACCCGGCGCCUCCACCAGUUUUCUCCUGUCGCGGCAGGCAUUCCUGGGGGCGAAACAGGAUCGACGAGGGUGUAAAGACAGUCUUUUUGCCCGGCAUGGUUCCGCCGAUAUCGGGCCGUUUUAUAGUUGCCAACGACAACUAUGCUGAGGUUGCCGUCGCUGCGUAAGCAGUGCCUGCACUUCGAUUUAAGUCCUUGCCCUUAGCCGGGUAAGGCGGGGUUCGGGGGCACCUGGCAACAGAAGCCCCCACU
RNAcentral lists this transfer-messenger RNA (361 nucleotides) under Alphaproteobacteria bacterium HGW-Alphaproteobacteria-12. It matches the Rfam family "Alphaproteobacteria transfer-messenger RNA". Rfam says of the family: Bacterial tmRNA, also known as 10Sa RNA or SsrA, is named for its dual tRNA and mRNA-like properties. Its role is to liberate the mRNA from a stalled ribosome. Lineage: Bacteria; Pseudomonadati; Pseudomonadota; Alphaproteobacteria. The record is from RNAcentral.